CAACAGCGUAUAUUAAAGUUGUUGCAGUUAAAAAGCUCGUAGUUGGAUUUGUGGCGUACGGUGUGUUCCGGGCACUUGUUGUCUGAGUAACCUGCUGUUGCCAUCCUUGGGUGGAACCUGUGUGGCAUUAGGUUGUCGUGCAGGGGAUGCCCAUCAUUUACUGUGAAAAAAUUAGAGUGUUCAAAGCAGGCUUAUGCCGUUGAAUAUAUUAGCAUGGAAUAAUGAGAUAGGACUUUCUUGCUAUUUUGUUGGUUUGCGCAAAGAGGUAAUGAUUAAUAGGGACAGUUGGGGGUAUUCGUAUUCCAUUGUCAGAGGUGAAAUUCUUGGAUUUUUGGAAGACGAACUACUGCGAAAGCAUUUACCAAGGAUGUUUUCAUUAA
This 380-nucleotide ribosomal RNA is filed under the name uncultured eukaryote. RNAcentral's name for it is "partial 18S ribosomal RNA". It matches the Rfam family "Eukaryotic small subunit ribosomal RNA", at positions 592 to 976 of the family's 1831-position model. The record is from RNAcentral.